CCUACGGGUGGCUGCAGUGGGGAAUAUUGGACAAUGGGGGCAACCCUGAUCCAGCCAUGCCGCGUGUGUGAAGAAGGCCCUCGGGUUGUAAAGUACUUUCAGUGAGGAAGAACGCCUGGUGGUUAAUACCCAUCAGGAAAGACAUCACUCACAGAAGAAGCACCGGCUAACUCCGUGCCAGCAGCCGCGGUAAUACGGAGGGUGCGAGCGUUAAUCGGAAUUACUGGGCGUAAAGCGCGCGUAGGUGGCUUGAUAAGCCGGUUGUGAAAGCCCCGGGCUCAACCUGGGAACGGCAUCCGGAACUGUCAAGCUAGAGUGCAGGAGAGGAAGGUAGAAUUCCCGGUGUAGCGGUGAAAUGCGUAGAGAUCGGGAGGAAUACCAGUGGCGAAGGCGGCCUUCUGGACUGACACUGACACUGAGGUGCGAAAGCGUGGGUAGCAAACAGGAUUAGAUACCCUUGUAGUC
RNAcentral lists this ribosomal RNA (465 nucleotides) under Vreelandella stevensii. RNAcentral describes it as "partial 16S ribosomal RNA". It matches the Rfam family "Bacterial small subunit ribosomal RNA", at positions 338 to 795 of the family's 1533-position model. The record is from RNAcentral. Lineage: Bacteria; Pseudomonadati; Pseudomonadota; Gammaproteobacteria; Oceanospirillales; Halomonadaceae.